GGUUAAGCGACUAAGCGUACACGGUGGAUGCCCUGGCAGUCAGAGGCGAUGAAGGACGUGCUAAUCUGCGAUAAGCGUCGGUAAGGUGAUAUGAACCGUUAUAACCGGCGAUUUCCGAAUGGGGAAACCCAGUGUGUUUCGACACACUAUCAUUAACUGAAUCCAUAGGUUAAUGAGGCGAACCGGGGGAACUGAAACAUCUAAGUACCCCGAGGAAAAGAAAUCAACCGAGAUUCCCCCAGUAGCGGCGAGCGAACGGGGAGCAGCCCAGAGCCUGAAUCAGUAUGUGUGUUAGUGGAAGCGUCUGGAAAGGCGCGCGAUACAGGGUGACAGCCCCGUACACAAAAAUGCACAUGCUGUGAGCUCGAUGAGUAGGGCGGGACACGUGGUAUCCUGUCUGAAUAUGGGGGGACCAUCCUCCAAGGCUAAAUACUCCUGACUGACCGAUAGUGAACCAGUACCGUGAGGGAAAGGCGAAAAGAACCCCGGCGAGGGGAGUGAAAAAGAACCUGAAACCGUGUACGUACAAGCAGUGGGAGCACGCUUAGGCGUGUGACUGCGUACCUUUUGUAUAAUGGGUCAGCGACUUAUAUUCUGUAGCAAGGUUAACCGAAUAGGGGAGCCGAAGGGAAACCGAGUCUUAACUGGGCGUUAAGUUGCAGGGUAUAGACCCGAAACCCGGUGAUCUAGCCAUGGGCAGGUUGAAGGUUGGGUAACACUAACUGGAGGACCGAACCGACUAAUGUUGAAAAAUUAGCGGAUGACUUGUGGCUGGGGGUGAAAGGCCAAUCAAACCGGGAGAUAGCUGGUUCUCCCCGAAAGCUAUUUAGGUAGCGCCUCGUGAAUUCAUCUCCGGGGGUAGAGCACUGUUUCGGCAAGGGGGUCAUCCCGACUUACCAACCCGAUGCAAACUGCGAAUACCGGAGAAUGUUAUCACGGGAGACACACGGCGGGUGCUAACGUCCGUCGUGAAGAGGGAAACAACCCAGACCGCCAGCUAAGGUCCCAAAGUCAUGGUUAAGUGGGAAACGAUGUGGGAAGGCCCAGACAGCCAGGAUGUUGGCUUAGAAGCAGCCAUCAUUUAAAGAAAGCGUAAUAGCUCACUGGUCGAGUCGGCCUGCGCGGAAGAUGUAACGGGGCUAAACCAUGCACCGAAGCUGCGGCAGCGACACUAUGUGUUGUUGGGUAGGGGAGCGUUCUGUAAGCCUGUGAAGGUGUGCUGUGAGGCAUGCUGGAGGUAUCAGAAGUGCGAAUGCUGACAUAAGUAACGAUAAAGCGGGUGAAAAGCCCGCUCGCCGGAAGACCAAGGGUUCCUGUCCAACGUUAAUCGGGGCAGGGUGAGUCGACCCCUAAGGCGAGGCCGAAAGGCGUAGUCGAUGGGAAACAGGUUAAUAUUCCUGUACUUGGUGUUACUGCGAAGGGGGGACGGAGAAGGCUAUGUUGGCCGGGCGACGGUUGUCCCGGUUUAAGCGUGUAGGCUGGUUUUCCAGGCAAAUCCGGAAAAUCAAGGCUGAGGCGUGAUGACGAGGCACUACGGUGCUGAAGCAACAAAUGCCCUGCUUCCAGGAAAAGCCUCUAAGCAUCAGGUAACAUCAAAUCGUACCCCAAACCGACACAGGUGGUCAGGUAGAGAAUACCAAGGCGCUUGAGAGAACUCGGGUGAAGGAACUAGGCAAAAUGGUGCCGUAACUUCGGGAGAAGGCACGCUGAUAUGUAGGUGAGGUCCCUCGCGGAUGGAGCUGAAAUCAGUCGAAGAUACCAGCUGGCUGCAACUGUUUAUUAAAAACACAGCACUGUGCAAACACGAAAGUGGACGUAUACGGUGUGACGCCUGCCCGGUGCCGGAAGGUUAAUUGAUGGGGUUAGCGCAAGCGAAGCUCUUGAUCGAAGCCCCGGUAAACGGCGGCCGUAACUAUAACGGUCCUAAGGUAGCGAAAUUCCUUGUCGGGUAAGUUCCGACCUGCACGAAUGGCGUAAUGAUGGCCAGGCUGUCUCCACCCGAGACUCAGUGAAAUUGAACUCGCUGUGAAGAUGCAGUGUACCCGCGGCAAGACGGAAAGACCCCGUGAACCUUUACUAUAGCUUGACACUGAACAUUGAGCCUUGAUGUGUAGGAUAGGUGGGAGGCUUAGAAGUGUGGACGCCAGUCUGCAUGGAGCCGACCUUGAAAUACCACCCUUUAAUGUUUGAUGUUCUAACGUUGACCCGUAAUCCGGGUUGCGGACAGUGUCUGGUGGGUAGUUUGACUGGGGCGGUCUCCUCCUAAAGAGUAACGGAGGAGCACGAAGGUUGGCUAAUCCUGGUCGGACAUCAGGAGGUUAGUGCAAUGGCAUAAGCCAGCUUGACUGCGAGCGUGACGGCGCGAGCAGGUGCGAAAGCAGGUCAUAGUGAUCCGGUGGUUCUGAAUGGAAGGGCCAUCGCUCAACGGAUAAAAGGUACUCCGGGGAUAACAGGCUGAUACCGCCCAAGAGUUCAUAUCGACGGCGGUGUUUGGCACCUCGAUGUCGGCUCAUCACAUCCUGGGGCUGAAGUAGGUCCCAAGGGUAUGGCUGUUCGCCAUUUAAAGUGGUACGCGAGCUGGGUUUAGAACGUCGUGAGACAGUUCGGUCCCUAUCUGCCGUGGGCGCUGGAGAACUGAGGGGGGCUGCUCCUAGUACGAGAGGACCGGAGUGGACGCAUCACUGGUGUUCGGGUUGUCAUGCCAAUGGCACUGCCCGGUAGCUAAAUGCGGAAGAGAUAAGUGCUGAAAGCAUCUAAGCACGAAACUUGCCCCGAGAUGAGUUCUCCCUGACCCUUUAAGGGUCCUGAAGGAACGUUGAAGACGACGACGUUGAUAGGCCGGGUGUGUAAGCGCAGCGAUGCGUUGAGCUAACCGGUACUAAUGAACCGUGAGGCUUAACCUU
Molecule: ribosomal RNA, 2903 nt
Filed under: Escherichia coli
Lineage: Bacteria; Pseudomonadati; Pseudomonadota; Gammaproteobacteria; Enterobacterales; Enterobacteriaceae
Also listed under: 1 other name
Description: 23S ribosomal RNA
Rfam family: Bacterial large subunit ribosomal RNA
Source: RNAcentral